CUGGUUGUGCACCUGCCCUCACUCUCUUGCUGAACCUAAUGCCUGGAGCCAUGUUGGGGUCUAUCUUCUUCUUUGAAGCAAGGGUUGUGUUUCUACCUCUUCUAGGAUACUGUCCACAAAAAAAAGUCAUGUGCAUUUAAAAGCAAGACCAUAUAUUAAUUAAGAGGUAUGAAAUAAAGAAUAUGAAUCUAAAGGCAUGAGCAUAUAUUAAACACCAGAUAAAAAACAUUGAAAUGCAAUGCAACUAUUUGGCAUCCACUACUUUGAAGAUAGAAGGAGCACCUUCAUUGCCAGGGGUUUUGGCUGCUCAUAAUAUUCACUGUCAUCAUCAGUAUCUCCUUGAUCAUCAUCGUCAAGGAGAUAGAAAGAGACAUAUGAAUCCGAAUCUGAACUAUUAUUUAUCUUGUUUGCUGCAUGUUUCCCCUUUGUUGAUGCAGAUGGUGAGACAGAAUUAUUUAGAACAGAAGUAUAUUUGUUCAGACCCAAAUCUUGCAUCUUCUUUAUAUUCUCCUCCACUUGUUUAUCCCGUCUUCUCUCAUAAGCAGUUCACUCAUGUUGAACUACUUGCAAGAUAGAUAAGAACAAGCAUACUGUGUGUAUUAGAUAAUGUAAAGGAUUUUACUAAAAGCUAAGAGGUACUACUAUUUGCAGGGAAGGAUUUGACUAAAAGCAAAUAGAUAAGAUGUGUAGAUUCAGUCAUUAUGAAGCUUGGUUAUGAUUGUGCAAGUUCAUAAUUGUGGUUGCACUGUAACUGUAGUGUUUCCCCUGUUUGGUUGUGGAAAUCUUUAUGCAGGCUUAAACAAUGUUCAAAGUACUAGCUAGUACAUUGAUUAGGCGAUGUAGAUUUACACAAGCUGAUGAACAAAAAAAGUGAAGAUAUUCUCAUCUCUUUCUACCAGCAAGGUUCAAGAAAGCACUAAGCGCUGAGCGAGCGGUAUGGUGGUGAAAAUGCUUAAGCGUGAUUAAUCAUGCUUAAUCAUUUUUGUUAAAAAAAGAAAAAAAAAAUACAUGAUAUUGGGCCACCCUGCAGCAGCCCUUAACCCCCACCUCCUCUCUUCAUGAGUCUGCAGCCCACUAGGCCCACCUGCCAGGAGGCUCAACGCAAAACCCCUCUCCCGUGAUGACCUCUCCUCCGUGUCGUACGCUCUCCGGCUCCCUCUCCCGAAGCCUCUCCUCCCUCGUGCGAUCUUCACCUCUACCGUGAAGCCGCUCCGCCUCUCUCUCACCAAUCUGCUGCCUGCAGCCAUCGUAGGUCCGUCCGCUCUCUCUCUCUCUCGUUGAUCCGUCGAUUUGCUGCCUGCUGGAUUGACCCCGGAGGUGUUCCUCCUCUUCCUCUCCCUCCUCUACUCCCUUAAACAUGCCGAAUGGGCACGAUUAAGCAGGGCCAGCGCUUAAUUGCCCGCUUAGUAGGUAAGCGAUGCGUUGACCCUCUGCGCAACGCUUAACCGCGCCUAAUCGCACGCCUAAUCGCGCUUUCUUGAACCUUGUCUACCAGUACUAGAAACAUAAGUUCUCUACUAAAACAUGGAUGUGACUGCAUAUAACACAAUGUAAGGAACCAAACACAACUGUAUGAGUGCACAAUGAUUACAUAAAUCAAUAUACAAUAUCUCUGAUAACAACGAAUGAAUAAUUAAACUAAAUCUAGCGAUGCUUAGGGUUUAGGGGUUGGACCUUUCUGACUUCUGUGCCUCCUUUUGUUCACCAUCAAGGUCGUCUGCGAUGACCCAAAUCCAGCGAUGUUAGGGUUUAGGGGUUAGCGAGAGCAAUGUGGAUGGGGCGUGUUAGGUGGAAGGGGCGAGAGAAAUGGGGAUGGCAAUGAGAUAGAGCGGGAUGCGGCGAGUGAAGUCGGCGCCGACGCAGCUCAUCGACGCGAUUAGAGGUAAGGGGGCGGCUGUGAGGUACCUGGUCGAGGGGGCAGGUCGUCGACGGCGGAUGUGUCCCAGCGGCGGCGGUGAGGUUUCUGGUCGAGGGGGCAGGUCGUCGACAGCCGUCGUGUCCCGGCGGCGGCGAUUAGGUUUGGAGAAGUGGGGGAGAAAGAAGAGUGGGGGAGAAAUAAGAGGAGUGCGGGAGAUAGAGGAUGAGAGCGGAGUAUGUUUUAGUGACGACGGCGAAAAUGUUUUUGGCACCCAAUGUGUUUGGCAAUGCGGAGUCUAAUGCGUUUAAGUAUACUAGCGCUGGGUAUAUGUCGAAAACACGUGCAUAGCCCAAUGGUUUGACUUGCUAACUAUAAGGCCGAGCUCCAAGGUUCAAGCGCCUGCAAGGAGACUUUUUUUGUGUUUUGCAUACCAUUUUAUAUUAAUUCUUUGUUUUUUAUUUAUCUCUAUGUUUUUUUUGCAAUUAUCUAUUCAUGGACACAUUAGUUGGGUUUAUGAUCAUGUUAUAAUAUUUUGAAAUAUUUUUGCAAUAGUGGUACUAUACAUCUCUCACUUGCAAUAGCAUCUCUCACUUAGUAAUUAGCCUUAUAUGAGAGAUGUAUGCAUUUCUUAGGAUGUGUGUCACCACUUUGUCCGAAUGAGUUGAAACUAUUUUGUGAACAUUGUACACCAAAAUGAAUGGUCCAUGCAAGUUUUUAGAGUUUUCUAGCUAGGCUAUGGUAUUGUAACAAAUAUCUUUACGAAAUACAACAAAUAAUUACAGUAAUUAGUAAACUAGGUCUGAACAAUGCAUAACUGCACACAACAUCAUAUGUUGGUUCAAUAAUCAUGCCAUUAAAGUUUAAAAUGGUUUGGAGAAAGUGGUAGUAUUGAUCCAUCACAAGCAUGAACAUCUCUCACUUAGUAAUUAGCCUUGUAUGAGAGAUGUAUGCCUUUCUUAGGAUGUGUGUCACCACUUUGUCCGAAUGAGUUGAAACUAUUUUGUGAACAUUGUACACCAAAAUGAAUGGUCCAUGCAAGUUUUUAGAGUUUUCUAGCUAGGCUAUGGUAUUGUAACAAAUAUCUUUACGAAAUACAACAAAUAAUUACAGUAAUUAGUAAACUAGGUCUGAAAAAUGCAUAACUGCACACAACAUCAUAGGUUGGUUCAAUAAACAUGCCAUUAAAGUUUAAAAUGAUUUGGAGAAAGUGGUAGUAUAGAUCCAUCACAAGCAUGAACAUGUCUCACUUAGUAAUUAGCCUUAUAUGAGGGCUGUAUGCAUUUUUGUAGGAUGUAUGUCACCACUUUGUCAGAACGAAUUGCAUGUUUUUGUCAACAUUGUACACCAAAAUGAAGUGUACAUGCAAGUUUAUAGAUUUUUCUAGCUACCUAAGGUUUUUUAGCACUUAUUCUUUAGUAAAAUAACAAAUACUUACAUUAAUAGUUAAACUAGUUCUAAAAAUUGCACCGGCACAAAACAUCAUGGUACACCUCCAUUAACACCCCAAAAAAAGGUUGAAAUGAUUUGGAGAAACGGGUGCUAUACAUGUAAAUAAAUAAAAGAAAAAUUCGAAAAUGAUUGAAAAAUGUAAACAAAACAAAAAAAAAACCUACCUAUCCCAAAGCUCGAACACAAGACGCCAGGGUUCACAGCAGCAAGGAGUUACCAUUGGACUAGUCACGUUUGUUCAUUAGUAACAGAGCGCCGUUAUAUUUAAGCGUAAACUGUUCUCUGUCCAGGAUGUAACCGAGCGCCCAGUUCAGAGUCUGCAUUUUCAGAUUGUUCAGUUCAGAGUUAACUCUGCUGCCCAGUUCAGAUUGCUGCCCAGCUCAGAUUUGUUGGUUAUUUAUUUGUUCAAAGUUCAUAUUCAAUUCCACAAAACUAGCUCAGAUUUGUUGGUUAUCUAUUUGUUCAAAGUUCAGAUUCAAAUCCAAAAAACCAGCUCAGAUUUGUUGGUUAUCUAUUUGUUCAAAGUUCAGUUCUCUGAGAUAUAUAGCUCAGUCCAAAGUUCAAAGUUCAGAUUCAAAUCCACAAAACCAGCCAAAGUUCAUAAAUUCUCAAGCAAUCUGAGAACUCUGCCCAGUUCAAAGUUCAGAUUCUAAACUAAUGAGUUCUAAACUGCCCAGUUCAGAUUCUAAACUAAUGAGUUCUAAACUGCCCAGUUCAAGCAAUAUCUGAGAACUCUGCCCAGUUCAAAGUUCAAAGCAAUCAGAUUCUAAACUGCCCAGUUCAAAGUUCAGAUUCUAAACUGCCCAGAUGGUCAUUUCAUUUUCAGAGAUCAGUUCAGACUUCUGCAUUUUCAGAUUAAAACCCAGCUUAAAUUUUGACAAUAAAUUAAAACUUGCUUAGAUCACAUGAACUGAAAAUUGAUUCCCAUAAACCCAGCUUAGAUCACAUGAACUGAAAAUUUUCAGAUGUUCAGUUCUAAAAAUACAGAAAAUACAGAAUACACAUUCAGUUCACCACAAGUUCAGUUCACCCCAAAUUCAGUAUUUCAGACACACAUUCAGUUCUGAAAAUACAGAAAAUACAUUGUAUCAUCUAUCCGUACUAAUCUGAACUGAACACUUCAUAAAUCAACUAUCAAUACUAGAAAUCCUCAUCUUCAUCUUCUAUGGACAUGUCAUCAUUGUUGUCAUCGCCACCAUCAUUAAAAUAUUGAAACAUUGUAUCAUCUUCCUCCUCAUCCUCACUAUCUUCAAGAAUAAUAGCAGCUUCCUUCUUUUUUCUUAUUAGUUCCUCUAAAUUGCCUUCAAUUAGACUGGCUUCUCCACCUUCAACAUUGUGCAGAACCUGAUUAUCAUCACCUUCUUGCACUAUAUGGUCUGUAUCAGAACAAUAAUCAUCCUGAUGCACAUCAUUAUUGCCCUCAUAUUUUUCAGCCACAUCAUAAAUAUUCCUAUGCUCAAAUUUCUGCACAACUCGGAAAUCUUUACAUUGUGGAGUUGUGUCUUGCAGGUAAAAUAUCUUUUUCGCUUGGUCUGCCAAGAUAAAAGGAUCGGACUUGUACCAAAAUGACUGCACAUUGAUGGAUUUGAAAUGGCUGUCAUCUCGAAUGCCCACAGUCUUUCCUACUUGGUUGUACCAAUCGCAUCGAAAUACAACCACCGACCGACGAACUUGAUAAUUCGAGUUAUAUUGUAACUCAAUUACCUCUUUAAGGACACCAUAAAAAUCUAUGUUCUCCCCAUUAUGUUCACCUUCAGUCAUUACACCACUAUUUUGUGUCUGCAUGAACUUCUCACGAUCCACUGUGCUAAACCGCACUCCAUUAAUCUUGCAAGCUGUACUAGUCUUAACUCGCCGAGCUGGGCCACAUGACAGUGCCCACAGUCCUUCGCUAACCAAUUCUGGAUUCUCAUUACGCUUCUUCUCAACCUGUUGCAACAAAAUUACUCAGCUGAGCAAUUACAUAUGCAUACCCAAAACUUUAGUAAACCUAUAACAUAAAAGUUUAGUGACUUACAUGGGACAUAAACCACUUUGCAAAUCCUUGUUGAACCAUUCGAUCAACAUCAUUUGGACGUGCACCUUGCUGCGAUAGCUCCUCCCUGUACAGACUGCAUGGCAUACUUUAUUCAUAAGCAUAUUUUCAAAUUUAAUAAACAUAACAUAAAUUAUGUAGCACAUACCAAACUAACUUACGUCAAAUAUUCCUGUACUUCAUCAGCAUUAUGUAGCACAUACCAAACUAACUUAUUCAUGGUAGCAUCAUCAAUGUACUCAGUCUUAGUACCUCCAACAAGAGUAGCACCAUGCUUAAAAACAGACAUGUCAUUAGGCAAUGGCAUCUCUGUACCACUAUCAUCAUCCUGGUUAAAUCUAGUGUCAACAUCCUUCAUGUACCUAGAACAAAAUGUUAAGGUAUCACUUGACAUAUAUGCCUCAGCAAUUGAUCCUUCCGGCCUAGCCCUGUUCCUUACAAAAUUUUUCCUGGUACUCAUAAAUCAAAAUCCUUUCCUGGACAUCUUGGACCUGGGAUGAGUAAAGACAUAAAGCAGUUUGUUGGAUUCACGCAUUCCCAUGGUGGGAGAUUAAGCGGUGUCACAAGCACUGGCCACAUACUGUACUGGGUACUCAUGUUGCCAAAUGGAUUGAAUCCAUCGGUAGCUAAGGCUAGCCUCAGGUUCCUCGGAUCAUUUGCAAAACCUGGGUACUUUCGGUCAAAGUCCUUCCACGCUUCCCCAUCAGCUGGAUGGCUCAUCACAUUGGCGACUGGCUUCCUCACUUUCUUGUGCCAUUGUGUUUCCUCUGAAGUUUGUUUUGAAGCAAAAAUUCUUUUCAACCUUGGCAACAGUGGAAAAUGCCUCAAAACCUUAUGUGGAACCCGCUUCGAACCAGUUUCAUCUUUCCAUCUAGACUCUGUGCAUACUGGGCACUCAUUCAAUUUAGCAUUAACAUUCCGAAACAACACACAAUUGUUCUUGCACACAUGGAUGUUUUCGUAUCCAAGGCCCAAUUCUUUAAGAUAUUUCAUGGCCUCAUUAUAUGAUUUUGGCAACUCACUAUUAGGGUAUCCAUCGGACAUCAGCUUCAUCAUUGCUGAAAAUGCUGUAUUGCUGAUUCGAUAACGAGACUUCAUAUACAACAUCCUCACCAUAAAAGAAAAUUUUGAAUGGCUAGAACCCGGACUAAGUGCCUUCUUUGCAUCUCCAAGAACUCCUGCAAAUCUUGGCUCUUCUCCAUCAGCCUCUGCCGUUGCAAACAGUUCACCGAUCAUCUCAGGUACUCCAUGAUCAUCAUCGUAAACAUCAUCGUCCACAUCCAUAUUUAUCCCAAAGUCAUUAUCAUAUCCUUCGACAUCCUCCUCUAUACCCUCAACUUCUGUAUCUGCCGACUCCCCAUGAUGAAUCCACCUCGUGUAUGUAGCUGACAUUCCAUAAAUGUGUAUAUGAGUUUCUACUUCACUCUGAGGUCGCAACCUUUGAUUAAGACAAUUCACGCACGGACAACGAAUGUCUGUGUCUUCUGGGUAUCUUUCAGUAACAAAAUUCAUGAACUCUUCAACUCCUUUCACAUAUGCAGGUGUGAAUUGUUUCCCAUAAACCCAUCUUCUAUCCAUCUAUUUUGACAAUAAAUUAAAACUUGCAUUAACUCCAUAACUAUGAUUACAUUGAACAAAAUUGAAAACCACAUCAAACACAUGCAUAUAUGAAAUAAAAUUCAAACGCACAUAGAACCUUAUUGACAAAAACACAACACAUCAAACCUUGUCUUUUCUCCCCGCCCUGCCGCUGUUCUGUCCACGCCCGCCGUAGCUAUGCGCAAGACGCCGCUGCUUUGCCGCGCCCGAAGCUUCUCUGCCUCGCUGUUUGCAGACGACGCCGUUCUUCCAACACAGUUGGAUCAAUGGAUCAGGCGACAAGAUCGCUCGUUCGCUGCGACGCUACCCAGUUGCCGAUCAAGCGGACGACGACAGACGCCGGCGUCGUUGUGUGCCGUAACCUGACGGCCGAUCGCACAAGCGCAGAUCGCAGCAGGAAAAAACAGAACAGGCGUGAUCGCAGAAUGGCGGCUGGGAAAACCUGUUAACAUAACGACAGAUGGGAACACAUUAAUAAACGGGAAGUUUCUUUAUAUACACGAACAAGUCCGUAGUCUGGUGGUAGCAACGAUUUAACGCAAGCCGCAGGUCCCUGGUUCGAAGCUCUGCGGGUGCACCUUUUUUUUGCCAAAUAACUAACUGCCGCUUCGUACUGGGCCGGGUCCGCGUCGCCAGGUGGGGGCUGUGUCCCCAAAAAACUGCGGCCCAUGUAGGCCAAGGAUCCCACGCCGUGUGUACACGUGGGCCGUUUUUUACUAAAACUCAUCUGUGACCAAUUUAUUUCAGCAUUACGUCAGCCGAUCAAGCCAAAUUAAUCUGUGACGUUCCUUUCAUUUUCGUCUAUGACGUUCCUUUCAUUUUCGUCUUUAAUAUUCAAGUCUAAUCUUCGUCCCUUGUAAUUGUUGACGAAGCUAUCAAUUUGGUCAUAGAAAUGUAUCAAUCUGUGACUGAAGUCACCAGCGUCACUAGAAAAUCGUCACUGAUGAUCACAUUCUUACUAGUGUUCCCUCCUUUUUUUAAUAUGAUCUCGCAAUGACAUACUCAUUGUAGAACUAAAGAAUAUAUAUUUUUUGUCAGUUAGAAGUUAAAAUAAUAAAAUAGACUUAAAGCAAAUCAUGUAUCAUUUCAAAAGUACAAGUAAUAAGGACUAAAGUAAACCAUAUAUACGUACAAAGAAUUUAAUACCUUUUGGAGUUGGUACCGGAUCCCAAGAGGGAGGAGGUUCACCUUCCCCAACUAUAAUUGGUGUUGUAGGGAUCUACAUGUAACAACUCAAAUAAGUAGCUGGAAAACACAUGAAUCUAGGCACACAAAUGAAUCCGAACAAAUAAAUCUACACAGGACAAAUGAAUCUAGGUUUGUACUUAGAGAAUGAUUUAAACAACGCAGAUUUGGAAAGCUAAUCUGGACAUUUUUGAAAAACAAAACAAAACAAAACAAUUAGAGAAUGAUUUAACAUUUAAUCAGUAUAGCACAAACAAGAAGCACAAGUAGCACAAACAAUUAGAGAAUGAAUUUAGGCAAUACGCCGCUGGCUGUGACCAGUGGCGGAGCCAGACAAAAACCAAAGCCUGGGCACCGUGGAGAGGGAAGGGACGGCGACGUGUUGAGGUUAGGAUGAGACCACCACUGGCAGCCGCGCUUUCUUCUUCCUUGAUAGACUGCAAUAGAAACUACACCACUUCACGUCCUCGCUCUGCUUCCCGUGGAUCAGCCUGGCGGGGUUCCCCACAGCGGUGCUCUUGUGCGGCAGGUCGAAGAGCACCGCAAAGGAGCAGAGCUUGCUGGCGGGUGUAAGUGUAAGGCGAGGGAGCGGUCCAGGGACGGGAGCGACAACACCGUGGCAUAGAGGAAGGAGGCUAGCACCGGCUCGCGUCCGCGUCGCGGCCUUGAUCUGGGACCACCCACGGCAGGUACGAGUACGACGACACAAUGUCCGCUUGAAGCCACCGCCGGAGCCGAGCCCGGGCACGUGCCCAGGCAUGCCGGGCUCUGGCUCCGCCCAUGGCUGUGACGGUUGGGCCGGCGCUCCAUUACCCCAAUCCGCCCAACCCUGACAAGGUGUUCUACAUCAACAAGAAGGAGGCGCCUCUGCUCAAGACGAACCCUCUCAUCCUAGUGCUGCAUAUACCUAUCUAUGCAAUUGGCUGUAGCACGAGUAGCUGCUCGUGCCUUGUCUCUGGUUCGUUACUCCGUCCAGAUCUCACACACAGAGCACUAGUAUCGCACCAGUGGAUGAAGGAGCUAUUGCAACCAUAGAAGAUACAGGGUACUUUACGGAGGGUAGCUCGUACUGGUGAGAAGGUGGUGGGGAGACUUGCCGUCGGAGUUGUGCGGCGCCGCCGUCUCUUCACCUCCUGCGGCGCCAGUGCUGCGUCGUGCCCUACAGCCAGGAUCCGAUCCGGAGGUGAUUGUGCCAGUGUUUGUUCCAGGCCGUGGAAGGAGGAGAAAAUCUGAACUGGGUCAGGUUUACAUCCAGUCCAGGCCCAAACGAACGGUUCCAGCGGCUCCAACCAAAUUUCAAUCCGGCCCAAUCUAUUUCGCCCGGAAAAGACCAGGAACAACCCAAUCCCACCGAUACGAACAAGGCCUAAAUUUGGGUGGACAAGGGAAGGGGAAAG
This 9523-nucleotide long non-coding RNA is filed under the name Zea mays. RNAcentral's name for it is "long non-coding RNA (ZMAY_LNC002075)". The record is from RNAcentral. Lineage: Eukaryota; Viridiplantae; Streptophyta; Magnoliopsida; Poales; Poaceae.